RNAcentral lists this ribosomal RNA (249 nucleotides) under uncultured bacterium. RNAcentral's name for it is "partial 16S ribosomal RNA". It matches the Rfam family "Bacterial small subunit ribosomal RNA", at positions 96 to 339 of the family's 1533-position model. The record is from RNAcentral.
CCGCGAACGGGUGAGUAACACGUGGGUAAUCUACCCCGAUGACCGGGACAACCCGAGGAAACUCGGGCUAAUACCGGAUGUGGUGUACUGGCAUAAGCCGGUCCACUAAAGGUAGCUUCGGCUUCCGCAUUGGGAGGGGCCCGCGGCCCAUUAGCUUGUUGGUGGGGUCAAGGCCUACCAAGGCAACGAUGGGUAGCUGGUCUGAGAGGACGAUCAGCCACACUGGGACUGAGACACGGCCCAGACUCC